Mercenaria mercenaria is the source of this 322-nucleotide long non-coding RNA. RefSeq lists it as uncharacterized. The transcript is spliced from 2 exons. The record is from RefSeq and is a predicted model, not a curated record. NCBI's taxonomy places the organism in Eukaryota, Metazoa, Mollusca, Bivalvia, Venerida, Veneridae.
AAGCAUCUUGGUCUAUUAUACAGAGUAUUGUUGUACUGCUCCAAAGUGCUUGUUGACAGACUGGAACCACUUGCUUGCGGCUCAUAAGGUUCACUUCUUGAGAGCAGGCAGCUACAAAAUGGAAGGUCAACAGAUCCAGUAUACUUGAAAAGCAAGAAAGAAACACCAGAAAAUAUAAAAAGACAGAAGAACAAGGGAACUUUAAUAAAAAAAAAAAACUUUUAAGGAUAGGAAUUCAGGAUUUAUUUAGAAACUAAAUUUAUUUUGAGAACAGCAGUGUUUGACUAAGCUCUGUUACUUUAAGAGAUAAUGUAUUAUCACA